CCUACGGGAGGCAGCAGUGGGGAAUAUUGCACAAUGGGGGAAACCCUGAUGCAGCGACGCCGCGUGAGUGAAGAAGGAAUUCGGUAUGUAAAGCUCGAGCAGCAGGGAAGAAAAUGACGGUACCUGAGUAAGAAGCCACGGCUAACUACGUGCCAGCAGCCGCGGGAAUACGUAGGGGGCAAGCGUUAUCCGGAUUUACUGGGUGUAAAGGGAGCGUAGACGGCAGUGGAAGUCUGGAGGGAAAGGCGGGGGCUCCACCCCCGGACGGCUCUUGAAACGGUACGGCUGGAGUGCAGGAGAGGUCAGUGGCAUUCCUAGUGUAGCGGUGACAUGCUUAGAUAUUAGGA
Molecule: ribosomal RNA, 347 nt
Filed under: uncultured bacterium
Lineage: Bacteria
Description: partial 16S ribosomal RNA
Rfam family: Bacterial small subunit ribosomal RNA
Source: RNAcentral